UUUCCGUAGGUGAACCUGCGGAAGGAUCAUAAAAAACUAAUUUACACGCGAUUUAAAAUUGCUUACUUCAAUAACCUAUUAAACAAUCAACCAACUAAUACCAAAAACUUCCAACAACGGAUCUCUUGGUUCUC
RNAcentral lists this unclassified non-coding RNA (134 nucleotides) under soil metagenome. RNAcentral's name for it is "partial contains small subunit ribosomal RNA, internal transcribed spacer 1, and 5.8S ribosomal RNA". The record is from RNAcentral.